GAUGAACGCUGGCGGCGUGCUUAACACAUGCAAGUCGAACGAUGAAGCCCAGCUUGCUGGGUGGAUUAGUGGCGAACGGGUGAGUAACACGUGAGUAACCUGCCCUUAACUCUGGGAUAAGCCUGGGAAACUGGGUCUAAUACCGGAUAGGAGCGUCCACCGCAUGGUGGGUGUUGGAAAGAUUUAUCGGUUUUGGAUGGACACGCGGCCUAUCAGCUUGUUGGUGAGGUAAUGGCUCACCAAGGCGACGACGGGUAGCCGGCCUGAGAGGGUGACCGGCCACACUGGGACUGAGACACGGCCCAGACUCCUACGGGAGGCAGCAGUGGGGAAUAUUGCACAAUGGGCGCAAGCCUGAUGCAGCGACGCCGCGUGAGGGAUGACGGCCUUCGGGUUGUAAACCUCUUUCAGUAGGGAAGAAGCGAAAGUGACGGUACCUGCAGAAGAAGCACCGGCUAACUACGUG
Molecule: ribosomal RNA, 466 nt
Filed under: uncultured bacterium
Lineage: Bacteria
Description: partial 16S ribosomal RNA
Rfam family: Bacterial small subunit ribosomal RNA
Source: RNAcentral